UUGAUUUUGCCACUUUUCUUUUUCAGCAGCUAGCUGCAAGACGUCCUGUGGGGACGUAGCCGUGCCAUACCCGUUCGGCAUGGGCCCGUCGACCAGCUGCUACAUGCCAGGGUUCAAGCUCGUCUGCGACUCGAGCCAUCAGCCCCCACGGCUGUUUCUCGGCAACGCUGAGCUCCAAAUCGUCGAUAUCUCCGUAGCCAACUCGACCGUGCGAAUCAUCCGAACCGGUGCCCUCAUAAGCCCUGGUUCCAACAUGGGGUCCACAAAACAAGUGGUUUGGGUCUUCGGACAGAAGGAGAUGUUCGGCAGUUCCUCGUUUUUUUUCGACGGUGAAGCGCCCUACUCGCUUUCCACUAGAAACAAGCUUGUGGCAACAGGGUGCAACGCACAGGCGACGCUGCUCGGACAUGGCAACCCGGCUAUGAUCAGCGGUUGUGUCGCCUUCUGCUCCCGCAACGACACCAGUAGCAGCACCGGCCUUGACGGAAGUGGUGGUGGCAAGUACUGCCACGGCAUAGGCUGUUGCCAGACACGUAUCUCUGAGUCCAUGGACGGAAUGCCCAAAGAGUUCCGCUUCCAAUGGUUAGACUCCAAAAACCCUAAGAACCUAAUACCGUUUCCAGCGUACGCAUUCAUCGCCGAGGAGGGUUGGUUUGAGCAGCAGGGCAACCUGAUCAUGCGGAAGGCUCUGAAUGAAACGCCGGUAAUUUCCCUGAAAGUUCCCAUCCUUCUCCGAUGGGAGGUCUUGCGUAAUGGCUCAUCACCGAACGCCAGAUUGCGUCAGGAUUGCUCUGGGAAGGUUGCUCGGGACCUCUGCAAGAGCGAGCACAGCCACUGCAAGCCUGGGAACAGAGGCUAUACGUGUAAGUGCAACGAGGGCUACAACGGCAAUCCCUACGUCCCCGACGGAUGCAAUGGUAGCACCCCCAAAUACUUUCGAGGUAUAAGCAUCAUUAUUGGUGUUGCUAGUGGGGCUGGUCUCAUUCUUUUGGCUCUGAUUAUAUACUUGAUCUCCUACAAAUAUAAGCAACGGAAGUCGCAAAUGUUGAAACGGAAGUUUUUUGAGCAAAAUCGUGGACAAUUAUUGCAACAAUUGGUAUCUCAAAGAGCCGAUAUUGCGGAAAAAAUGAUCAUAUCCCUGGAAGAGCUAGAGAAAGCAACGAACAAUUUUGAUAAAGCCCGUGAGCUUGGUGGUGGUGGACAUGGAACUGUCUACAAAGGCAUUUAGCAGACCUCCAUGUUGUAGCCGUCAAGAAACCAAAGAUAUUAGUUCAAAAGGAGAUUGAUGAGUUCAUUAAUGAAGUUGCUAUCCUGUCACAAAUCAACCAUAGGAAUGUAGUAAAACUCUAUGGUUGUUGCCUUGAAACAGAAGUCCCAAUGCUAGUCUAUGAGUUCAUAUCCAACGGAACUCUUUAUGAGCAUCUUCAUGUUGAAGGGCCAAGGUCAUUGCCAUGGGAGAACAGAUUACAGAUAGCAAUUGAAACAGCCAAAUCUCUAGCCUAUCUCCACUCAACGGCUUUAAUACCUAUCAUCCACAGAGAUAUCAAGUCCACUAAUAUACUUUUGGAUGAUACUUUAACAGCUAAGGUGGCAGACUUUGGAUCUUCAAGAUACAUUCCAUUGGACAAAUCAGGUCUAACAACAAUGGUGCAAGGUACACUAGGAUAUCUGGAUCCUAUGUACUUCUACACAGGGCGCCUAACAGAGAAAAGUGAUGUUUACAGCUUUGGUGUUAUGCUCGUAGAACUGAUGACUAGAAAGAAGCCAUUUUCCUAUAUGGCUCCUCAAGGUGAUGGCCUUGUGGCACAUUUUGCUACCUUGUUUUCUGAGGGAAGUUUGUUACAGAUAUUAGAUCCACAAGUUACGGAUGAGGGUGGGGACACAAUUGAAGAAAUUGCUGGAGUUGAAGUCGCUUGUAUAAAAUUAAGAGGAGAGGAUCGUCCAACAAUGAGACAAGUAGAGUUGAGGCUGGAAGGAGCUCACUCACCUAAGAAGCAUGCAACAAUGGUAGUUCAAGAAUUUGAGGCGAAUGAUAUUGUCAUGAACUCUUCAAUAACUGGAAAUGGAAUAACCGACCGAGAAGGUCUUACUAGGCAGUAUAGUCUGGAAGAAGAGGGCAUGUUAUCAGCAAGUUAUCCACACUAG
RNAcentral lists this ribosomal RNA (2145 nucleotides) under Triticum aestivum (bread wheat). Its description in RNAcentral is "partial small subunit ribosomal RNA". The record is from RNAcentral. Lineage: Eukaryota; Viridiplantae; Streptophyta; Magnoliopsida; Poales; Poaceae.